This 3022-nucleotide ribosomal RNA is filed under the name Blattella germanica (German cockroach). RNAcentral's name for it is "bacterial LSU rRNA". It matches the Rfam family "Bacterial large subunit ribosomal RNA". Lineage: Eukaryota; Metazoa; Arthropoda; Insecta; Blattodea; Blattellidae. The record is from RNAcentral.
CUAAGAGCUAAUGGAGAAUGCCUUGGUACUGACAGCCGAAGAAGGACGUGUAAAGCUGCGAUAAGCUGCGGGGAGCUGCUAAAAAGCCCUGAUCCGCAGAAUUCCGAAUGGGGAAACCCUAUAAGGUUAAAACCUUAUAACCCAUACAUGAAUACAUAGUGUAUGAGGAGGAAAGCCUGUGAACUGAAACAUCUUAGUAACAGGACGAAAAGAAAAUAAAUCAAUGAUUCCGGUAGUAGCGGCGAGCGAAACUGGAACAGCCUAAACUUUGUGUACGUGAUAAACUGCAAUUGUUGUGCACAGAGGGUUGUGGGACUUACCGAAUAUCUUGCAGGAUAUUCAAAGAGUUACAAAAUUAUUAUAUAGUUAAAUUCAACUGGAAAGUUGAGCCAUAGAGAGUGAUAGCCUCGUAAACGAAAUGUAAUGAUCUCUUGUAAGUAUCCCGAGUACGGCGGGGCACGUGAAACCCUGUCUGAAUCCACCGGGACCAUCCGGUAAGGCUAAAUACUACUCAGAGACCGAUAGUGAACUAGUACCGUAAGGGAAAGGUGAAAAGUACUUCGAAUAGAAGGGUGAAAUAGAUCCUGAAACCGUUAGCUCUGUCUCUUAUACACAUCGUUAGCUUACAAUCAGUUAGAGCCCUAUUAAUAGGGUGAUAGCGUGCCUGUUGAAGAAUGAGCCGGCGAGUUAUCUUAUGUUGCAAGGUUAAGGAGUUAAUAUCCGGAGCCCCAGCGAAAGCGAGUUUGAAUAGAGCGUUAAGUAACAUGAGAUAGACCCGAACCUUGGCGAUCUAACCAUGACCAGGAUGAAGCGUAGGUAACACUACGUGGAGGUCCGAACCGACUGAUGUUGAAAAAUCAGCGGAUGAGUUGUGGUUAGGGGUGAAAUGCCAAUCGAGCCAAGAGCUAGCUGGUUCUCCCCGAAAUGCGUUUAGGCACAGCGUUAGAUUUAUCUUACAGGAGGUAGAGCACUGGUUUCAUGCGGGCGUCGAAAUGAUGUACCAAAUGAUGUCAAACUCCGAAUGCCUGUAAUGUUACUGUCUAGCAGUGAGACUGCGAGUGAUAAGAUCCGUAGUCAAGAGGGAAACAGCCCAGAACGCCAGUUAAGGUCCCUAAUAUAUACUAAGUGGUUAAGGAGGUAGAGUUGCUGUGACAACCAGGAGGUUGGCUUAGAAGCAGCCAUCCCUUGAAAGAGUGCGUAAUAGCUCACUGGUCAAGCGACUCCGCGCCGAAAAUACACCGGGACUAAAGUAUAUAACCGAAACUGCGUCAUAUAGUUUACUAUAUGGGUAGGGGAGCGUUCUGUUGUAGGUUGAAGUAUGACCGUAAGGACAUAUGGACGAAGCAGAAGUGAGAAUGUCGGCAUAAGUAGCGAAAACAUUGGUGAGAAUCCAAUGCACCGUAAACCUAAGGUUUCCCCUGGCAGGCUCGUCCGCGGGGGGUUAGUCGGAACCUAAGAUGAGGCCGAAAGGCGUAGUCGAUGGACAACUGGUUGAUAUUCCAGUACUAUCUGAUAAUCGUUAUCAGAUGCGGAGGGACGCAGGAGGAUAGGCAUGCAAGCGAACGGAAGUGCUUGUUUAAGCGUGUAGGUAGAAAUAAUAGGAAAAUCCGUUAUUUCGUUAUAAACUGAGGCGUUAUGAGGAGAGUCUACGGACUCGAAGAUGUUGAAUCCACACUGCCAAGAAAAUCUUCGCAAUCGAGAUUACCAGGUAUCCGUACCGUAAACCGCCACAGGUAGGUUAGUAGAGAAUACUAAGGUGCGCGAGACAACUCUCGCUAAGGAACUCGGCAAAAUCACCUCGUAACUUCGGGAGAAGAGGUACCCUGCUAGCGUGUAAGCCCUUGCGGCUGAAGCGUGAUAGGGUCGCAGUGAAUUGGCCCAUGCGACUGUUUACCAAAAACACAGGUCUCUGCUAAGUCGAUCAAGACGAUGUAUAGGGGCUGACGCCUGCCCGGUGUCGGAAGGUUACGUGGAAGGGUUAGAACCUCGGUUCGAAGCUCUGAAACUAAGCCCCGAUGAACGGCGGCCGUAACUAUAACGGUCCUAAGGUAGCGAAAUUCCUUGUCAGGUAAGUUCUGACCCGCACGAAUGGCGUAACGAUAUGGGCGCUGUCUCGGCGAGAGGCUCGGCGAAAUUGGAUUAUCCGUGAAGAUACGGAUUACGUGUACCAGGACAGAAAGACCCUAUUGAGCUUUACUGUAGCUUGAAAUUGAAUUCGGGUUCUUAUUGUGCAGUAUAGGUGGGAGACUUUGAAGCAAGAGCGUCAGCUUUUGUGGAGUCAUCGUUGAGAUACCACUCUGUAAUAAUUUGGAUUCUAACAUUGAUCCCUCUAACAUCAGGGCAAUGGACAGUUUCUGGUAGGCAGUUUGACUGGGGCGGUCGCCUCCUAAAAUGUAACGGAGGCGUUCAAAGGUUAGUUCAGGUUGGUCGGAAAUCAACCAUUGAGUGCAAUAGCAAAAACUAGCUUGACUGUGAGACAUACAAGUCGAACAGGUACGAAAGUAGGAUAUAGUGAUCCGGUGGUUCUGUAUGGAAGGGCCAUCGCUCAUCGGAUAAAAGUUACCAUAGGGAUAACAGGCUUAUCUCCCCCAAGAGUCCACAUCGACGGGGAGGUUUGGCACCUCGAUGUCGGCUCGUCGCAUCCUGGAGCGGUAGUACGUUCCAAGGGUUGGGCUGUUCGCCCAUUAAAGCGGCACGCGAGCUGGGUUCAGAACGUCGUGAGACAGUUCGGUCCAUAUCCGGUAUACGCGCAAGAGAUUUGAAUGGAGUCUUCCUUAGUACGAGAGGACCGGGAAGAGGGAACCUCCAGUGUAUGGGUUAUUCUGCCAAGAGUAAACGCCCAGUAGCUGUGUUCCAAGCGGAUAAGUGCUGAAAGCAUAUAAGUACGAAGCCCACCAUAAGAUGAGAUCUCUCAUGACACAAGUCAGUAAGUCCCCAGGCAGAUUACCUGGUUGAUAGGUCAGAGAUAUAAGUAUGGCAACAUAUUCAGUCGACUGAUACUAAUCGGACGAGGGCUUUUCCU